This 253-nucleotide ribosomal RNA is filed under the name uncultured bacterium. RNAcentral's name for it is "partial 16S ribosomal RNA". It matches the Rfam family "Bacterial small subunit ribosomal RNA", at positions 524 to 776 of the family's 1533-position model. The record is from RNAcentral.
UACGAAGGGGGCUAGCGUUGUUCGGAGUUACUGGGCGUAAAGGGCGCGUAGGCGGCCCUCCAAGUCGGGCGUGAAAGCCCACGGCUCAACCGUGGAAUUGCGCUCGAGACUGAAGGGCUCGAGGACGGGAGAGGAUGGUGGAAUUCCCAGUGUAGAGGUGAAAUUCGUAGAUAUUGGGAAGAACACCGGUGGCGAAGGCGGGUCUCUGGGCCGAUACUGACGCUGAGGAGCGAAAGCGUGGGGAGCGAACAGG